This 496-nucleotide ribosomal RNA is filed under the name uncultured bacterium. RNAcentral's name for it is "bacterial SSU rRNA". It matches the Rfam family "Bacterial small subunit ribosomal RNA", at positions 28 to 507 of the family's 1533-position model. The record is from RNAcentral.
GAUGAACGCUAGCUACAGGCUUAACACAUGCAAGUCGAGGGGAAACGACAUCGGAAGCUUGUCUUUUGAGUGGGCGUCGACCGGCGCACGGGUGAGUAACGCGUAUCCAACCUGCCCACCACGUUGGGGAUAACCUUGCGAAAGUAAGACUAAUACCCAAUGACGUCUCUAGAAGACAUCUGAAAGGGAUUAAAGAUUUAUCGGUGAUGGAUGGGGAUGCGUCUGAUUAGCUUGUUGGCGGGGUAACGGCCCACCAAGGCGACGAUCAGUAGGGGGUUCUGAGAGGAAGGUCCCCCACAUUGGAACUGAGACACGGUCCAAACUCCUACGGGAGGCAGCAGUGAGGAAUAUUGGUCAAUGGGCGAGAGCCUGAACCAGCCAAGUAGCGUGCAGGAUGACGGCCCUAUGGGUUGUAAACUGCUUUUAUAAGGGAAUAAAGUGAGUCUCGUGAGACUUUUUGCAUGUACCUUAUGAAUAAGGACCGGCUAAUUCCGUG